RNAcentral lists this long non-coding RNA (309 nucleotides) under Phascolarctos cinereus (koala). RNAcentral's name for it is "lncRNA (ENSPCIG00000019865.2)". Lineage: Eukaryota; Metazoa; Chordata; Mammalia; Diprotodontia; Phascolarctidae. The record is from RNAcentral.
GAUUAAUAUGCAUUUUUUAUUUGUCCACAAAUGACCACUCUCUUCUCUCUCCUAGUUAUCAGGUUGUUAUGAAAAUGCAAGGUAGUAUUUCAGCAGAUGGCUAAAUUUAAUUUUUUUUCUUUUUACAGUUUCACAGAAAAAAAAGUGUUAAGAAUUGUUCUUAACCGCUUCAGACUCCAGAGCGCGAAGCUGCUGUUGCAUCCUGUUUUCUAGCUUUGAUGGCAGGAGAAACACAUGUUCUGUGAGUCUCAGACUAUAGCCCGCUUUUUUUCUUUCACACAGUGUAACUAUUGAAGUCAUUUGUACUGG